Molecule: long non-coding RNA, 1879 nt
Organism: Erinaceus europaeus (western European hedgehog)
Lineage: Eukaryota; Metazoa; Chordata; Mammalia; Eulipotyphla; Erinaceidae
Exons: 2
Source: RefSeq, a predicted model, not a curated record
CGUGUGUGUGUGUGUGUGUGUGUGUGUGUGUGUGUGUGUGUGUGUAUGUGUGUGAGUAUAUGUUCUUUUUCUGCUAGGCAACAACAGCUCUUUGCAAUGAUUCCUGCUCCCACCUUAACCUCAUAUAUUUGAGAGAAAAAGUGAAAUCAGGGAUGGCCUGGCAGCUCACGAGGGAGGACACCUGCUUUGCCAAUGCUACUGACCCAGGGUCGGGCACCCAGGACACCAUAUGAGAAUACCACAGCACUGGAGAAAACUUCAGUCCUGCGGUCUAUCUCCAUCUCUGCAUCUAUGCCUGGAAAACUCAACCCUGACCAACAAGAAAAGAAAAGAAAAAAUAAGAAAAAAAAAACAACGAAGUGUGGCCAGAGCGAGGAGGGGCAGUUUACAGAGCUGUUGGUCUUCUCUAGCUGCUGCCUAUCAGGAGGAGGGAGAUGAAUAAGGAACAAAAAAGUGCACCAUCACUUGAACUCUUGGGGGAGCAGAGCUUUGAGUUGCUCCCACAGACACAUCCCCACCUGUUGUGGCAUCCUCCUGCAACCUCCUGCUGAAUGCUUUGCCAGCCCCUGCUUGGACUGUGCCAGCUCCCCACAAGCCUUUCCCAUCUUGGGAUCAAUGAAGAGGUGCUGCAGCUGUGGUCCCCCCCCUUGCAUCUGGGUCACAUGCCGGCUCAGCACUUCCCAUCUUUGUAGUGUGCUGUUCCCUCUCCCUAAAGAUUUCUCCCCCUGGGGCUUCCCCUGUCCCCACAGAGCCCCGGUUCUGAUCACCAUCCCAGCCACUGUCCCCAGAAUGGGUUAGUGAUGGUUUCAGAGUAGCCUGACUGCAGCCCCUGCAUGUCUCUAUCCCACCCCCAAGGUCACGUGUCGCUACUGUCUGCAGAACACUGAAAAUCAUGCCUGUGCCCAAUGCUGUUGGCCCCUGGCUUCUUGGCCUUGUCCUCAAGCUGCUGGCACUGGGGUUCUAGUGUAGCUUGAGGAAUCUGUCUGCUCCCUCUCUCCUUCCUUUCAGGCAGCCCUUUAGAACUCCUCCAUCCUCUAACCCCUCCCCAUCCCAGAAGCCAUUUAGAGAAACCUCUUAGAGAGAAAGUAGGGUGUGCCUGGGAACAUAGCAUCUUAUCGAUAUGGAUCGUGAAUCCUCUAUCCUAAUUACAUCUGAACUCCUCCAGGGAGUCGGAAAGUGGGUCAUGUCUGUCUUUCACAUGACUCUUUUAUCCAGAGUCAGAAAUAGCACAGAGACUACUCCUUUUGCUCUGUUCUAGAAUUUCUGCAUCCAUGUUGUUUCUUCCCACGGAGGCACGGAUUAAAGCCAGCCCUGUCUGGGGCACAGCCCACCCCCUUCCUCAGGAGUAAGUUCAGCCUCUUCUGUCAUGAGCUCCAUCUCACUCACACACUCUUUGAGUCUCUGGGACUUCCCUGACUCCCUACUCACACCUGCCCCAGCUCUCUCCCUCACCUCUGCUCUGCUUUCCAGCCAUCCAGGACCCUGCUGGCACAGAUUUCCCCUCCGUGGCAUUGCCGCCCACUAUGAGUCCCACUGCUCCUGUAGGGGUGGGUCUGCCUUGCUUGAGGCUGGGACAUCCACAGGCAUACACACUCUGAUCUCUCCUUAUCCUGACCCUUCCCCUCCCCUAUACUCUGGCAUGGGGGAGGGGGGCUGUGAGUACCUUGGGAGCCAAAAGCCUGCUCAUUUCACCCUGCAUUCCCAGUUCCUAGCCAAAUGCCUGCCACAUUAUUUAGAAGUUAAAUGAGUGCUUGUCAAACCAAUGUGUAACUGCUAGACUUUUGAACCAUCUGCUAUGUUAGAUAUUAUUAGUCAGACAAUGCCUGCAAGGCUUCUCCAGAUGGUGUAUUACACAUGCAAUAAAAAUAAUAAGCCAGAA